This 342-nucleotide long non-coding RNA is filed under the name Homo sapiens (human). RNAcentral's name for it is "HSALNT0253417". The record is from RNAcentral. Lineage: Eukaryota; Metazoa; Chordata; Mammalia; Primates; Hominidae.
CCAGGAGAUGGCAGCCACUUUUUGGAAAACAGUCUUUAAACAGAGCAUUGCUGGGUGACCGGUCGAGGGGCAGGACAUGCAGGAUGAUAGUCGCCUGCUGAAAAGGCACUUCUGACAGGCCAGGGUGCAGCACAGAGUCUGCCCAGAGAACCACGUGUGAGUCCUUAAAAUGGUCAUAAAUAUGUGUAGGGAUCAUCACCUUAUUUUUAGGGAUUGCAUCCAUCUUAGGGGACCAUCUGAACUCUGGAGAUCAUAGCCAAUGCUUGCUUGACACAGCGGGAUGGCUGAGAGGCCUGUGCAGCACUGGUGGCCACACCUGCGGGGGCAGAGGGAAGGAAGGGC